CCCUCAGGCUUCCUGCAGCAACCAUCAGCUCUCACGACCUACUGGUCAACAAGAAAGCAUUGAACACCAUUUACCUAAAAAAAGAAAAAAAAAAAGAGUAUAUGUAUUUUUGGUGCAAAUAAAAACGUGUGAACAGUAGAGGCUCUGUUGGAGUUUGGCGGGAAACAGGAAAUUAUAUGGUAAAAAAAAAGGGGGGGGAAAUUACCCAUUUUUUUUCCCCCUCUUUGCACAAUUAUUUGGCUGUAGUAAAAGCGAAAGUAAAAGUUUAGGGCAAGGAAUGCAUGCCCACUGGAGGGGACGUGCUGGCGGAACAGGGACCGGGGUGUGUGGUGCGGGGGGAUUCUGAACAGCCCAGGGGAGAGCUGUGAUCUUUCUGGAUCCCAAAGUGGGAUGUACUGCGCAAGGGAGUGUCCAUCAAACUCGGGGCCAGAGCGGUCAUUUGUUGUUUUUCUCAGCGAGAAAGCACCCAGAGAGGAAUGCUUGCUUUGAGGUUCCUGGAAAGAGUAACACAGAGGAAGAGCAGUUCCGAGAACUAAGAAGAUUCCAUUUGGCUCUCCCUGUGGCCCCAGUAAGGAAGAUGUUACCAGUUCCAUUCUGCAGUCGUGAAACUGGAAAACAAAACAGAACAAUGAAACGGAUGAUAGUCAUGCCGUGGCCCCUUCUUCCCCUGGGAGACCUAGAACCAGCACCUGCUAUAUACCGGACCUAACGCUACUUCUACCUCAAAACUGAACUGUUCCUUUGGAGCUAUUUGAAUGCUAACUACUGACCAGAUAUUUGACCAUGUUAAGGAAUUAUUGUUUCUUUCUGUUUUUUGUUGUUGUUUGUUGUUUCUUCUCUCUCUCUCUCUCUCUCUCUCUCUCUUUUUUUUUUUUUUUUGGUAUGAUACUGAUAUUGUGAUAAUGUUAACAGUAUUUCAAUUUUGGAGCUUUGUCCUAAAAUAUGCACACAUGAAAUAUGAAAAAGGUUUUGGAUUUGCUUCACAAUAGUUCAGUUUGGGGGGGCGAUAGAUGAAACCAGAUUGGUUUUAGGACGAUAAUUGUUGAAGCUGGUUAUGAACAUAGAAGGGUUUAUUAUAUGAUUGCCUUCGGUUUUGCAUGUUUAAACAUUUUCCUAAUAAAGAGUAAAAAGUAA
Molecule: long non-coding RNA, 1134 nt
Organism: Mustela lutreola (European mink)
Lineage: Eukaryota; Metazoa; Chordata; Mammalia; Carnivora; Mustelidae
Exons: 4
Source: RefSeq, a predicted model, not a curated record